RNAcentral lists this ribosomal RNA (385 nucleotides) under uncultured bacterium. RNAcentral describes it as "bacterial SSU rRNA". It matches the Rfam family "Bacterial small subunit ribosomal RNA", at positions 370 to 772 of the family's 1533-position model. The record is from RNAcentral.
AAUGGGGGAAACCCUGAUGCAGCGACGCCGCGUGAGCGAUGAAGUAUUUCGGUAUGUAAAGCUCUAUCAGCAGGGAAGAAAAUGACGGUACCUGACUAAGAAGCCCCGGCUAACUACGUGCCAGCAGCCGCGGUAAUACGUAGGGGGCAAGCGUUAUCCGGAUUUACUGGGUGUAAAGGGAGCGUAGACGGCAUGGCAAGCCAGAUGUGAAAGCCCGGGGCUCAACCCCGGGACUGCAUUUGGAACUGUCAGGCUAGAGUGUCGGAGAGGAAAGCGGAAUUCCUAGUGUAGCGGUGAAAUGCGUAGAUAUUAGGAGGAACACCAGUGGCGAAGGCGGCUUUCUGGACGAUGACUGACGUUGAGGCUCGAAAGCGUGGGGAGCAAA